AAGAUAUUAAGUCAUAAAUAAACAAUAGCUAUACAGGGUGAUUCAUUAAGGAUAAGACACUCAUUUUCUCGCUUGUUAAAGUUAAAUGAUUUUGGACUAAAUUUCCAUUGUUGUUUUAAUGUUUUCAAUACAGAAGUCACUAUUUUUCUAUAGUGUAAUAUACACUAAUUGUUAUUGACCAAGAUAUGACAAAUGAUAAAAUUGUACUAAAGUUAUAUAACGGGUUUUAAUAUAAUCUGAACAAUUAAUUAGAGUUACUUUGGAAUAUUCUUCAGAAACUUUAAAUAUUAAGGAUAUUAUACAGUUUAAUAGCUUUCAAAUUCCACAUUGCAAGCCCAACUUUAAUAUAAAUGAAUUGAUAUAAGAUAAUAUAACACAGUGUUUUGUCAAAAACUUUAAGUAGUGAA
Daktulosphaira vitifoliae (grape phylloxera) is the source of this 407-nucleotide long non-coding RNA. RefSeq lists it as uncharacterized. NCBI's taxonomy places the organism in Eukaryota, Metazoa, Arthropoda, Insecta, Hemiptera, Phylloxeridae. The record is from RefSeq and is a predicted model, not a curated record. The transcript has 4 exons.